Molecule: ribosomal RNA, 441 nt
Filed under: uncultured bacterium
Lineage: Bacteria
Description: partial 16S ribosomal RNA
Rfam family: Bacterial small subunit ribosomal RNA
Source: RNAcentral
CCUACGGGAGGCAGCAGUGGGGAAUAUUGCAAGGGGUGCAAGCCGGAACCAGCAACGCAGCGGGAAGGAAGAAGGGUCUCGGGGUGGAAACGGCUUUUAUCAGGGAAGAAGCAAGUGACGGUACCGGAUGAAGAAGACACGGCUAACUACGUGCCAGCAGCCGCGGUAAUACGGAGGGGGCAAGCGUUAUCCGGAUUUACUGGGUGUAAAGGGCGGGUAGGCGGGAACGUAAGUCAGAUGGGAAAACCCGGGGCUCCACCUGUGGCCUGCAUUUGAAACUGUUUUUCUUGAGUACUGGAGAGGCAGCCGGCAUUCCUGGUGUAGCGGUGCAAUGCGUAGAUCUUAGGAGGAACCCCAGUGGCGACGGCGGUCUGCUGGACCGCAACUGCCGCUGAGGCGCGACAGCGUGGGGAGCAAACAGGAUUAGAUACCCGGGUAGUC